Molecule: non-coding RNA, 125 nt
Organism: Hordeum vulgare subsp. vulgare (domesticated barley)
Lineage: Eukaryota; Viridiplantae; Streptophyta; Magnoliopsida; Poales; Poaceae
Source: Rfam
UAUAUACUCCCUCCAUCCGGAAAUACUUGUCAUAAGAAUGGAUGUAUCUAGAUGNNNNNNAGUUCUAGAUACAUCCAUUUGUAUCCAUUUUUAUGACUAGUAAUUUCGGACGGAAGGACUACUAG